AUACAUAUCGUGUUGCCAAGC
Molecule: microRNA, 21 nt
Filed under: Glycine max (soybean)
Lineage: Eukaryota; Viridiplantae; Streptophyta; Magnoliopsida; Fabales; Fabaceae
Description: gma-miR9731
Source: miRBase by way of RNAcentral